Molecule: long non-coding RNA, 1543 nt
Organism: Scophthalmus maximus (turbot)
Lineage: Eukaryota; Metazoa; Chordata; Actinopteri; Pleuronectiformes; Scophthalmidae
Exons: 2
Source: RefSeq, a predicted model, not a curated record
UCGCGGUUUCACGGCCCGGCCAGAGCUGUAAAAACACAACAACAACAAAGUUUUCUCUAAAAUUGCUUACUGCCUCUUUAAAACAUGUAAGCAUGGUAUCCCUGUCCACUGUGGUGGUCACGCAGAGGGAUUUGUGUUUCUUUCACAUUGUGUUGCUGACUCUGGCCAGCAGCCAAAAAAUGUCUGAUGUUUCUGUUGGCACAUUUUUAUAGCAUCACCAUAAUUUCAACCAAAUCUCUUUGAAGGAGAGGUGAGUUUUAUUUUUCAGUCCCUACUGUCAAAAAAAUAAAACCAAACACUGUACCCUCCUUGAUGAAUGUGCAUAUUACCAGCAUGUUACUGUGUCCAGUGUUGUGUACGAGGGCUUGGUCAUUGUGUCGUGAUGACUGAAAAAACUAUUUGGAUUAUUUAUAAAUCAUCUGUUGAAGAAUUCAGAGUUAUAUCAUGUGUGGUCUCGUGCCUACUCACCACUCUCUUUUCCUUUGCGUUCCUCCUCUGCAAGCUGGGCCUGCAGCUGCGUCUGAUUGGCUCUCAGGCAGCGGUUCAUCUCCUGCUCCUCCUUCAGCUCUUGGCUCAGCUUCACCACUCGACUGUUUAACUGUGUGUACCUCGACGUACAAACACAACGGAGGUGUGAGUUGGCAAGCUCUCUGCAAAGUAAAGUCUUAGAGGAAAGGGCCCACGUGUUGUGGCUAUUGGCUCACUGGCACCACUGACUGGUACAAUGGAAGUGAGCCAUUGUUACCAAACAGAGUUUAUGACUUGGAGCUUGUAUUGAGCAUAUCCACCCAUACCUCCUCGGCCGUCUCCUUCUCCAGAUGAACGAUCUUAUUCUCCCAGUAAAUCCUCUGAGACUCCAGUUGACUCGUCAGCAGGUACGAGUACUGCACACAUGGAACAUUAAUCAGGACAUUUCAGUGUUGGUUUAGCCAAAAAUAAAAAGCAAGCAACAAAAGGAAAUGCUUACCUCGAGCUGGAGUGCAUCAAUUUUCUCAGCAUGACAGGCGUCUCCCUCAUUCUCAUACUGUACCAUCUUUCCAUCGGUCUUACUGGCCACCAGUCGAUGCACGUAGUUAUCUACAUUAACAGGGAUCCACACAAACUUUGUUGUCAGAGUUGGUCCAUUGGAACCAGUUGAUCAACUAUUCUAAUAUUCUGUCAAUUGUUGCAUAAUGCUCAACAUUUACUGGUUACUGCCUUUUCCUCUCUUUCAGAUCACUGUAAAUUGAAUAUCUUUAGGUUUUGACUCAUCAAUGUGAACGAACAAAACAAGCAAUCAAAAACAUAAUCGAACCCUUGACCUCGGCAUCGAGGCAUAAACCUCGAAAUACAUGUGUGCCCGCUCUAUCCACUGAGCCGCCCCGGCCACAGAGUGUGACAUUUCUGAGUUUGAACGUGAUGUCAAGGAAAUAUUUGAUCGCAGGAGAUGGGGGGGAAAUUAUUUCCCAAAUAUUUGAAAUGUUUUGUAUAAAACUUUCUUUUGUAAGACAACAUGAACAACAAGUCCUUUUGUACUAAUAGGAAUAAAAAUCUACAUCCAUGA